Non-coding RNA from Triticum aestivum (bread wheat), 115 nucleotides. The record is from Rfam. NCBI's taxonomy places the organism in Eukaryota, Viridiplantae, Streptophyta, Magnoliopsida, Poales, Poaceae.
CAAGUACUCCCUCCGUACGGAAUUACUUGUCAUCAAAAUGGAUGUGUCUAGAACUAAAAUACAUCUAGAUACAUCCAUUUCAAUGACAAGUAUUUUCGGACGGAGGGAGUACAAG